This 450-nucleotide ribosomal RNA is filed under the name uncultured bacterium. RNAcentral describes it as "partial 16S ribosomal RNA". It matches the Rfam family "Bacterial small subunit ribosomal RNA", at positions 354 to 796 of the family's 1533-position model. The record is from RNAcentral.
GUGGGGAAUAUUGGACAAUGGGGGGAACCCUGAUCCAGCCAUGCCGCGUGUGUGAAGAAGGCCUUUUGGUUGUAAAGCACUUUAAGCGAGGAGGAGGCUACCGAGAUUAAUACUCUUGGAUAGUGGACGUUACUCGCAGAAUAAGCACCGGCUAACUCUGUGCCAGCAGCCGCGGUAAUACAGAGGGUGCAAGCGUUAAUCGGAUUUACUGGGCGUAAAGCGCGCGUAGGUGGCCAAUUAAGUCAAAUGUGAAAUCCCCGAGCUUAACUUGGGAAUUGCAUUCGAUACUGGUUGGCUAGAGUAUGGGAGAGGAUGGUAGAAUUCCAGGUGUAGCGGUGAAAUGCGUAGAGAUCUGGAGGAAUACCGAUGGCGAAGGCAGCCAUCUGGCCUAAUACUGACACUGAGGUGCGAAAGCAUGGGGAGCAAACAGGAUUAGAACCCCGGUAGUCC